UGCCAGCCGCCGCGGUAAAACGUAGGAGGCAAACGUUAUCCGGAAUUACUGGGCGUAAAGCGCAUGCAGGCGGUCUUCUAAGUCGGACGUGAAAGCUCCUGGCUCAACUGGGAGAGGCCGUUCGAAACUAGGAGACUUGAGGGUGGUAGAGGAGAGUGGAAUUCCCGGUGUAGUGGUGAAAUGCGUAGAUAUCGGGAGGAACACAAGUGGCGAAGGCGGCUCUCUGGGCCACACCUGACGCUCAGAUGCGAAAGCUAGGGGAGAGAACGGGAUUAGAUA
Molecule: ribosomal RNA, 279 nt
Filed under: uncultured bacterium
Lineage: Bacteria
Description: partial 16S ribosomal RNA
Rfam family: Bacterial small subunit ribosomal RNA
Source: RNAcentral